GUCAUUUAACGCGCACUGAUGACCAGCAACGCACAGAAGGCGGGGUGACGUCAUUAAGUUCGACAAUCCUCCCCGGAAGUUGUCAGCCAUCAAUUUGCAGCGGAAUCAACGCACGUUUAACAGCAUCUGUGGUCGGCCCCUUUUCAUCACCGGCUCCCAGUAUCACGCAGGGAUGUUCUCCUCCUCCCUAAUGGUAAAUCCACAAUGCAAAGGACAGGACACGGGCUGAGCCGUCAGAGUCAGGGAUCCUGAGACUCCCGAGUGAUUAAUUAAGAAACUGUUGUUGGAAAAGAGAACAGAAUGAGCUCAAAGGUUCUGAAUGGUGUCAGACCAGCUUGGGGUCAUUAACAAUAUGACAGCGAUGAUGCAGGAAAAAAAGGCCCAAAUCCUGGAAUGUUGUGAGUAAUUAAAGCCUGAAUUAACCAUGUCUCUGGAUAUCUGAGUAAUUCCCCUGAAUGGGGCCGUAACAGCACAAUUUUUCAACAACUACCUUCUCUCACAGUUGUCAUAUGUGAAGGUAUGUCUCGCCGUGGCUGUUGCCUCCAGGCACCAGCAGUUUAAACGUUUGGAGGCAGUCGAAACUUGCUUUUCUGGAUUAUCCUUUCUUUUUUUUUUUUCUGG
RNAcentral lists this long non-coding RNA (621 nucleotides) under Takifugu rubripes (torafugu). RNAcentral describes it as "lncRNA (ENSTRUG00000028546.1)". The record is from RNAcentral. Lineage: Eukaryota; Metazoa; Chordata; Actinopteri; Tetraodontiformes; Tetraodontidae.